GAUGAACGCUGGCGGCGUGCUUAACACAUGCAAGUCGAACGAAGCAUUUAGAACAGAUUAUUUCGGUAUGAAGUUCUUUAUGACUGAGUGGCGGACGGGUGAGUAACGCGUGGGUAACCUGCCUUGUACUGGGGGAUAGCAGCUGGAAACGGCUGGUAAUACCGCAUAAGCGCACAAUGUUGCAUGACAUGGUGUGAAAAACUCCGGUGGUAAAAGAUGGACCCGCGUCUGAUUAGCUAGUUGGUGAGAUAACAGCCCACCAAGGCGACGAGCAGUGGCCGACCUGGGAGGGUGACCGGCCACAUUGGGACUGAGACACGGCCCAGACUCCUACGGGAGGCAGCAGUGGGGAAUAUUGCACAAUGGAGGAAACUCUGAUGCAGCGACGCCGCGUGAGUGAAGAAGUAAUUCGUUAUGUAAAGCUCUAUCAGCAGGGAAGAUAGUGACGGUACCUGACUAAGAAGCUCCGGCUAAAUACGUGCCAGCCGCCGCUGUAA
This 497-nucleotide ribosomal RNA is filed under the name uncultured bacterium. Its description in RNAcentral is "partial 16S ribosomal RNA". It matches the Rfam family "Bacterial small subunit ribosomal RNA", at positions 28 to 523 of the family's 1533-position model. The record is from RNAcentral.